Molecule: transfer RNA, 93 nt
Filed under: Ecklonia radiata
Lineage: Eukaryota; Phaeophyceae; Laminariales; Lessoniaceae
Description: tRNA-Ser
Rfam family: tRNA
About the family: Transfer RNA (tRNA) molecules are approximately 80 nucleotides in length.
Source: RNAcentral
GGAGAUGUUGCUGAGCGGUUGAAAGCCUUGGUUUGCUAAAUCAAUCUACAUUUUUAAUUUUAUGUAGCGUGGGUUCGAAUCCUACCAUCUCCA